UUGGAUGAACGCUAGCUACAGGCUUAACACAUGCAAGUCGAGGGGCAGCAUUUUAGUUUGCUUGCAAACUAAAGAUGGCGACCGGCGCACGGGUGAGUAACACGUAUCCAACCUGCCGAUAACUCGGGGAUAGCCUUUCGAAAGAAAGAUUAAUAUCCGAUGGUAUAUUAAAACCGCAUGGUUUUACUAUUAAAGAAUUUCGGUUAUCGAUGGGGAUGCGUUCCAUUAGUUUGUUGGCGGGGUAACGGCCCACCAAGACUACGAUGGAUAGGGGUUCUGAGAGGAAGGUCCCCCACAUUGGAACUGAGACACGGUCCAAACUCCUACGGGAGGCAGCAGUGAGGAAUAUUGGUCAAUGGACGAGAGUCUGAACCAGCCAAGUAGCGUGAAGGAUGACUGCCCUAUGGGUUGUAAACUUCUUUUAUAUGGGAAUAAAGUAUUCCACGUAUGGGAUUUUGUAUGUACCAUAUGAAUAAGGAUCGGCUAACUCCGUGCCAGCAGCCGCGGUAAUACGGAGGAUCCGAGCGUUAUCCGGAUUUAUUGGGUUUAAAGGGAGCGUAGGUGGAUUGUUAAGUCAGUUGUGAAAGUUUGCGGCUCAACCGUAAAAUUGCAGUUGAAACUGGCAGUCUUGAGUACAGUAGAGGUGGGCGGAAUUCGUGGUGUAGCGGUGAAAUGCUUAGAUAUCACGAAGAACUCCGAUUGCGAAGGCAGCUCACUAGACUGCAACUGACACUGAUGCUCGAAAGUGUGGGUAUCAAACAGGAUUAGAUACCCUGGUAGUCCACACAGUAAACGAUGAAUACUCGCUGUUUGCGAUAUACAGUAAGCGGCCAAGCGAAAGCAUUAAGUAUUCCACCUGGGGAGUACGCCGGCAACGGUGAAACUCAAAGGAAUUGACGGGGGCCCGCACAAGCGGAGGAACAUGUGGUUUAAUUCGAUGAUACGCGAGGAACCUUACCCGGGCUUAAAUUGCAUUUGAAUAAUCUGGAAACAGGUUAGCCGCAAGGCAAAUGUGAAGGUGCUGCAUGGUUGUCGUCAGCUCGUGCCGUGAGGUGUCGGCUUAAGUGCCAUAACGAGCGCAACCCUUAUCUUUAGUUACUAACAGGUCAUGCUGAGGACUCUAGAGAGACUGCCGUCGUAAGAUGUGAGGAAGGUGGGGAUGACGUCAAAUCAGCACGGCCCUUACGUCCGGGGCUACACACGUGUUACAAUGGGGGGUACAGAAGGCAGCUACCUGGCGACAGGAUGCUAAUCCCAAAAACCUCUCUCAGUUCGGAUCGAAGUCUGCAACCCGACUUCGUGAAGCUGGAUUCGCUAGUAAUCGCGCAUCAGCCAUGGCGCGGUGAAUACGUUCCCGGGCCUUGUACACACCGCCCGUCAAGCCAUGAAAGCCGGGGGUACCUGAAGUACGUAACCGCAAGGAGCGUCCUAGGGUAAAAC
This 1440-nucleotide ribosomal RNA is filed under the name uncultured organism. RNAcentral's name for it is "SSU rRNA". It matches the Rfam family "Bacterial small subunit ribosomal RNA". The record is from RNAcentral.